Non-coding RNA from Podarcis lilfordi (Lilford's wall lizard), 71 nucleotides. The record is from the annotation of a GenBank genome assembly. NCBI's taxonomy places the organism in Eukaryota, Metazoa, Chordata, Lepidosauria, Squamata, Lacertidae.
GGCCAUAGCUCAGUGGUAGAGCACAUGCUCUGUAUGCAGAAGAUCCCAGGUUCGAUUCCCAGGUAGGGCUG